AAGGAAUAUUGGUCAAUGGGGGCAACCCUGAACCAGCCAUGCCGCGUGCAGGACGACUGCCCUAUGGGUUGUAAACUGCUUUUGUUAGGGAAUAAACCCCGCUACGUGUAGCGGGCUGAAUGUACCUAAAGAAUAAGGAUCGGCUAACUCCGUGCCAGCAGCCGCGGUAAUACGGAGGAUCCGAGCGUUAUCCGGAUUUAUUGGGUUUAAAGGGUGCGUAGGCGGCACUUUAAGUCAGGGGUGAAAGACGGCAGCUCAACUGUCGCAGUGCCCUUGAUACUGAAGUGCUUGAAUGCGGUUGAAGACGGCGGAAUGAGACAAGUAGCGGUGAAAUGCAUAGAUAUGUCUCAGAACACCGAUUGCGAAGGCAGCUGUCUAAGCCGUUAUUGACGCUGAUGCACGAAAGCGUGGGGAUCGAACA
Molecule: ribosomal RNA, 421 nt
Filed under: uncultured Sphingobacterium sp.
Lineage: Bacteria; Pseudomonadati; Bacteroidota; Sphingobacteriia; Sphingobacteriales; Sphingobacteriaceae
Description: bacterial SSU rRNA
Rfam family: Bacterial small subunit ribosomal RNA
Source: RNAcentral